RNAcentral lists this long non-coding RNA (739 nucleotides) under Triticum aestivum (bread wheat). RNAcentral's name for it is "long non-coding RNA (TAES_LNC024972)". Lineage: Eukaryota; Viridiplantae; Streptophyta; Magnoliopsida; Poales; Poaceae. The record is from RNAcentral.
CCGCCUCUUGGUUUAGUUCACAUGUCUUGAAUUACUUUGAUCCUUUUGGUAACAUCAAACUGGGUUCCAUAGAAGUAACUGCUAACUGGGUAUGACCUUGUGUGAGGAAUCUACAGCAGCACUUCAAAACUCCCAGGUUGUUUUCAUCAGCAAGCUUACAGCUGACCACAUGGUGUUACUCGAUAAUACAACAUUGUACGAUGCACCUGAGAUUCCAAUGGAUACCUGUCGAAGCGAUGUGGUCAUCAGCAUGUAUGCUCUCAAUCUUCUGGUAGAGCAUUUUCCCUUAAACGAUGCUACUGUCACAUGAUGCAUAUCAUUAUUUUGUUGGUUGGUAAUUUGACCUACACAACACUUGCUGAUAUUAUCCUUUCCAGGAUGCAAAAUGAUUCUUCAUUUUGGGGUGCCAACUAUGCUAGCUUUAUAUUGCUGAAUGUAGGAGCUUAUUUUGUGUUCCCAUGUCUAUGAUAUGCAUGCUCUGCCGGUUCCCUGCAAGCGCUUUCGGCGAUGACCUCAAGUUCUGCUGCUAGGCCGUGAAUGUGUUGGUCCUUCUCACCGUCCACCGAUGAUGGUGCCCAAGAGAAGUCAGGGAAGGAGAAAAGGAUGUUGUUGUCGCGUGGUCGUCAGAACGACUGGCCGUGGACGCAGCCAUGCACUGGAUGCCAUCAAUGGCUAGCUGUGGACGAGCACCUCGCCGCCUCCGCAAAAUAUGAAUGCACGGGAUUCUGCUACUAACAUU